Molecule: ribosomal RNA, 433 nt
Filed under: uncultured bacterium
Lineage: Bacteria
Description: partial 16S ribosomal RNA
Rfam family: Bacterial small subunit ribosomal RNA
Source: RNAcentral
AACGAACGCUGGCGGCAUGCCUAACACAUGCAAGUCGAACGAGACCUUCGGGUCUAGUGGCGCACGGGUGCGUAACGCGUGGGAACCUGCCCUUAGGUUCGGAAUAACUCCCCGAAAGGGGUGCUAAUACCGGAUAAUGUCUUCGGACCAAAGAUUUAUCGCCUUUGGAUGGGCCCGCGUUGUAUUAGCUAGUUGGUAGGGUAAAAGCCUACCAAGGCGACGAUCCAUAGCUGGUCUGAGAGGAUGAUCAGCCACACUGGGACUGAGACACGGCGCAGACUCCUACGGGAAGCAGCAGUGGGGAAUAUUGGACAAUGGGCGAAAGCCUGAUCCAGCAAUGCCGCGUGAGUGAUGAAGGCCUUAGGGUUGUAAAGCUCUUUUACCCGGGAUGAUAAUGACAGUACCGGGAGAAUAAGCUCCGGCUAACUCCGUG